Non-coding RNA from Taeniopygia guttata (zebra finch), 3789 nucleotides. Lineage: Eukaryota; Metazoa; Chordata; Aves; Passeriformes; Estrildidae. The record is from RefSeq and is a predicted model, not a curated record.
GCUUUGCCUGUGAGCCCCGGCCCAGGAGGUCAUUGUUGGCAUUCCUGCCAUGACAGCCAUUCCCGGGGGACUGAGGCUCCCAGGUGGGGCUGCCGGCCUGGCAGGUCCCGUUGGUCCCUGGUGAGGAGCGGGACAAAGUCUGGUCACUGCUCAGGGGCCAGCUCAGGGUGGCCUGAGGACAGGCAGAGCUGUGUGUGAUGGGCUGCUCGGUGCAGCGUCCUUUAGGAGGUUUAGUCUCUUUAAUCCAUCCAGGUGGGGCUCCUGCGAUGUUUCUUUCCCCACCUGGAGGAACACUUUCAGUGGAGUGGAAAUCCUUCCCCUGCAGAGCUUUGAAACCAGCAAAGGUUUAGUCACUUUCUUGUGCUGCGAUUGCAUCAAACCGGCCUUUGGCUUGCUGAGCACAAGGGAGUUGUGUGAACUCCUUUGAGGAACUGACUGAUUUCCUUUGUUGUGCUUUGUGUGUGUUUUUCUGGGAAGGUGGAGGCAGCACAGAGAGGAGACCAGAUCCCCAGUCUGGGACAGAUGUUCCAAAAACAUAUCCCUGACUCCCGAGGUGAUUCAAAAGGAGUGCAAAAACCCCAAAAUGCCUCCUCUGAAUGGGGAGUCUGUUUUGCAGUAGUUUUCAACAGAGACAGGAGAAGCCAUAUAUUAGGCAGGAUUUAGGUGAGUGAUAAAGCAUCCUGUGGUGUGAGGGGUGGUCAGUAAAGCUCCUGUCCCACUGCUGAAUUUGCACGCCCUUCCUCAAGGAGGUGCUGGUAACUUUUGCCUCAGCUGGUAAAUGGUGAUGUGCAAGUGAGGUUGGUGUAUCUGAGACAGCUUCUUCUUGUUCUUACCCUGGUGACUGUCAGGGCUUCAAAGCAGAACUGAAGUUAUGUGGCUGCUUUAAAGUGUGUAAUUAUGAUCUGGCCCAUUUCUGCCUGGCCAAACCACAUCUCUAAACUUACAGAAGCAAGGAACAGGUUUAUUGGAAGGUUCAGGCAAGUUUUGUUGUGUUCAUUCCUCUUUGAGUGGAAUGCGUACAUGCAGCUGUCCAUUAAGGAUACAUAAAACCACUUAAUACCUUCAUAACUAAACAUGCUUAAUACCUUCCUGUACUUGUCUUUGUACAUGUACUUCCUCUACACAUUCUCUGUGCUGACAGAGCUGAUACUUCUGAAGAGAGCUCCUCACCAGAGCUGCUGGCUGGGGGGAAUUGUUUGUGCUGAGGUGAGGAUGCUCCUAUUCCCUUCUCUGCCUCUGCCUCAUUAAGCAGUGCAAGUUGUGUCAAGGAGCAGCACCAGAGGCCACUUCAGCAGUCUCUGGCUUGUGGUGUUUGAGGGGAGAUAAAAAUAACAAACCCAGUGACUUUAAGCAGCACUUUGCUUACAUUUUGAUGGUAAUCCCUAUUCCAGCAGGCACAGAGUUGUAACUCUUGCAUGAAUAAAAUCCCCUUGCCACAUGGUACGUGUGCACAAAAGGCUCUGAGGUCUGGUGUGCUGAUGCAGAAGUUAGUUUGCACUUGCAUCUCUCUUUAUAGGCUUUUCCCCUAAAUAUUAGUGGAGAACUGACGGCUGAGACUGGAGCAGCUGCUGCAGCACCUGAACUCCAAAGUGGAGAACUCUGUGCUGCCAGCAGCUGUCAAAUUGUGUCACAGAUGGGAAAAUCUGAUAACCACUAGUGUGAAUCAGCAUCUUUGAAAUCCGGCAGUUCUCAUGGCUCCAAGUGCGAUGGAUUUGGGAGAAGAACUUUGUUUUCUUGCUUUGUUUCAGACACAUCAAAACAAGAGGAAAGUAUUAUGGUCUGGUCUUCCCUGCCUCAUCUCAGACUGAUCAGGUCUGAUGCAAAAGCACAGGGAAAAGCAAGGAUGAAGAAGCCAGUCCUGCUGAGGAAGAUGAGGAGAUGUGAAAGGAUGGAGACAGCAGCCACCAAAGGCUGGGGAAGGCACAGAGCCAGGACAGGAAGAAAUGCUUAACUCAUCCCAUCUUUGCCCAGAGCCUUGGUGUUUGAGCAGCCAAACCCAACAAGCUCCAGAACUGCUGGUCCUGCCCAUGGUGUGGGAUUCUGGACUUGCCUCUGUGGACAUGUGUGCUGAGCUCUCACUGCAGGGAACUGUCAGGCCUUGAUGGUUAUGAAUUAUACCCACAGCCCCAAAUUCCCUGCUGAAUUCCUGCUGGAAUAACCCAACAGUGCCUUGUGGAGUCUGGACAUUCCCAUGUAGAGCUGCCGUUGAACAGCAGCUGUGGCAGGAACCAGCAGAGGUUCCAGGACAAGGACAGGUUUGUAUUCCAUAGAAUUUGUUAUUUAUAACCCUCAUCCCCCAGCCCCACUGAUGUCCCUGGGGGACACUUGACAGAGUUCCCUGGAAUUCAGCUGAUUUCAUCCCCCUGAGCUCGGGCUCCAGUUGAAAUUUUAAAGCAGGAGAAGGUGAUGGCUCCUGGCCCGUGCUGAGGCAGCCCCUGUGCCCAGGGGAGGACAUCUCUCCCUGCAGGAGCUGACUCCAUCUCAGAGCCUCAGGAGUGCCUCUGCAGGUUCUUUUCCCUCAGGAAAGGGAUGCACAUCCCUGCUUCCAGCACACCUCCAGUGGGACCCACCUGUGAAAGUUUUCCAUCAGUUCUGUGGUUCCAGCUGGCUCCCUAGAACACUCCAAACUUCAUCCAAACAAAACUUCACCUGACUCUAACCUUUUAUUUACAGGCCUCCCUGAGGGCAUUGCUUGGGGUUUCAUUUCUGGGGGGAAGAUCCCCUUGGCUUUAACGCUGCUGAGGGAUGAUGGCCCCAGGCUGGGAGGGAAGGGGUUUGGGGGGCUGGGACACACCUGGGGGUAUGCAGGAGCUCCGGGAGGUCGGCACCGGGAAUUGCUGCCUGAGCCCCUCCUCAAACGCACCGCGCUGACAUUCCCAGGUAAGGCCAGAUGUUCCAGCUGUUCCUCGGUAAUUCUGGGCUGCGGGCGGGGCCUGUCCGGGCUGAAGCAGCUCCGGAGCCCGUCAGAGCAGCCCCCGGCCGAGGAGCCGCGGGCAGCCCUCGAUCCACGUCCAUCCCAGCGCUGCCCAUCCCCGGGAUGCGGGUGUGGCGGGACACUGAGGCACAGCUCCUCCCCGCAAACACCGAGGGCAGGAGGUGCUGGGUCCCUUCCUGGGCUCCCGGCCUCCUCCUGCCCCGCAUUCCCAGCCAGCUGGGACCACUGAGGAAACACCAAGGAACAUUCCCACCUGGGAGUGGGAGUCACCAAGGGCUCCGUGCAGCUCCGGGCCAGGAAAGUGGCCCCAGCCCCAGCAGGGAUUUUGGGCUGUGAACACUCACCUGCAGGAAACGCCCCUCUGCAGGUGGGACCAGCCCUGACACUCUCCUGAAGAACUCUGGCCAUGGACCAAGUGAUCCCUCAGGGCUUGUCCUGCUCAUUUCUCCUUGGAAAGGGGCAUGGAAUGAGCACCUUUACAGCUGUUGGGUAAAUCCUGGAAAGAGCAGGAAACCAAGGUUAUUGAAGAGUCUUGUGCUGUCCUGUGAGACACCAGCCAGUCCUGCUCUAGAGCCGGUCUAGGGGCUGGUGUGCAGAGCAGGACUAGCAGGAAGGAAGGAGCCACAUUGACAUAGGAAUUCCCUUGCUGGCAGCAGCCACCCCAUCCCAGGCAGGACCUUCCUCAUGAGCCUGAGGUUGCUCAGGUGCUUGGAGCAGGGUGCUGACAAGGCCAAGAUGCUGAAUUCAGUCCCCACGUGGGCCAAUCGCUCAUCACCGUUUGACUCGAUGAUCCUCAUGGCCCUUCCCAACUCGGAACCUCCUGUGCUCUGAAAAUAAAGAACAAACACCUCUCA